This is a non-coding RNA of Mycena crocata, 99 nucleotides long. The record is from the annotation of a GenBank genome assembly. NCBI's taxonomy places the organism in Eukaryota, Fungi, Basidiomycota, Agaricomycetes, Agaricales, Mycenaceae.
UCGGGCGUGGUGCGCGGUGCACAACAGCAUUCAGUCAAGCAAGUGAUCUAAAGACGAGAAUAUCAGCUGUAAGUCGGGGUUCGACUCCCCGCGUCCAAA